GUUCAAAUUCAAGCUAAUGAGCAGCCCAGAGACCUAGACACCAAGCUGUUUCUGGUUUCUCUUUCGGGUUUCAGUAUUUUUCAGGCAGGUGUACUGACACUUUGGAUAAUUCAGCCUUCCUUGUUCCUGACACUGCAGAGGCCCUGGCUUGUUCUGUACCUUGCCUCUGACUUUGCCUUUAGCAAUAACGCUAAUAGAGAUGCCAGCAUGUGACUUUAUCUACUGUUAGCAAUUUGUCCCUACCCCCAGCUUGAAACCCCAAAUCUGUGAGAAAUCGUCCCAGGCCUCCACUGCCCCACAUCUGGCUUCUCAAUCUCUUUGGGGGUUCUUACUUCACUAACUGCUAAAUAUGGAUGGCCCUGGGACUUGUCCUUAGACCUAUUUUACUUGUGUGUCUUAGGGCUUCGAAUAUCUUGAAGAGUUUGAUGCUAACCCAGAUCUCACCCCUGAGCACCAAACAUAUCCACCUGUCCCACGUCUUCUCCCCCAACCCCCAACUGUUGGGUUGAAUAUUGAUUAUCUCAUGUUGGGAAGCCUGUAGUCUCAGCACUCGUGAGACCAAAACAGGAGGAUUGCUUGUGAGUUCAAGGCCAGCCUGGACUGAAGAUGAGACCCUGCCUUUAAAAAUAAAUAAGUGGGACAUCUUCCCCAUGCCUGUAAACAUCUCCCCAUGCCAGCCCAAGGCAGUACACAUCUUUGUUCACCAAUCUGAAAAUUCAGUGUGGUCCUUUUUGUCUCCUGUCCCCUUCCAUCCCGGAAUGUCAGCUCAGCCUUUGAAAUAUACUGAAGCUUCUCACUUUCCAUCACCCUUUGAAGGAUUGACUACCCAGCCUCUGAACUAUUGAUGGAGAACUAACCUAGGGAUCUGCCUCCUUCCUGUCUCCUCGAUGACCAUUCUGGAGAAGAUAAUCCUGGCAGUGUUUUCUCACUGUUUUAUGACCCAUCCAGCUCAACCUUCCAGCUUAUAGCAGAAUCCCUUCUGCUGGGGCUGAGUCGGCAUGACAGAGGACCAGCCAACACCUGCCCACUGGGAUCCUCACUAUAGCAUCCGUGGAGGAUUGGCUCCAGACUCCCAAGGAUACCAAGACUCACCAUUGUUCACAGUACUUAAAGAAAAGCUUAAAUAAAAUGGUAGGGUGUUUGCGUG
Molecule: long non-coding RNA, 1147 nt
Filed under: Cricetulus griseus (Chinese hamster)
Lineage: Eukaryota; Metazoa; Chordata; Mammalia; Rodentia; Cricetidae
Description: lncRNA (ENSCGRG00015036363.1)
Source: RNAcentral